This 357-nucleotide ribosomal RNA is filed under the name Triticum aestivum (bread wheat). RNAcentral's name for it is "partial small subunit ribosomal RNA". The record is from RNAcentral. Lineage: Eukaryota; Viridiplantae; Streptophyta; Magnoliopsida; Poales; Poaceae.
AUGUCGCUCGUCACAGCUUUUCUGGCGGGCUCAGCGGCGCCGGCGGUCGCGCCACGGUCCGCCCGCCCGUCGGUGGGCUUCUUUGGGGUCGGCGGAGGGUGCGCGCUGUCGGUGGAGUGCUCGUCGCGGCCGCAGAAGAAAGGGACCAAGCACCAUAUGAAGACGCGGCCCAAGAAGACGCAGCGGUGGGACAUCAAGCGCCGCCCCGUUCAGUACGAGCCGCUGCCGGCGCUUCCCGAUGACUGGACGCUCGUAGCCGCCGGUGCGAAGGAAGAUGAGGUGCCGCAGGAUGAGGAGACCACGCCCGCCGCCGCCGUUGAGGUCGAGGUGGUCGCCGCCCCUGCCGCCGCAGACUGA